This 433-nucleotide ribosomal RNA is filed under the name uncultured bacterium. RNAcentral's name for it is "partial 16S ribosomal RNA". It matches the Rfam family "Bacterial small subunit ribosomal RNA", at positions 29 to 507 of the family's 1533-position model. The record is from RNAcentral.
AACGAACGCUGGCGGCAUGCCUAACACAUGCAAGUCGAACGAGACCUUCGGGUCUAGUGGCGCACGGGUGCGUAACGCGUGGGAACCUGCCCUUAGGUUCGGAAUAACUCCCCGAAAGGGGUGCUAAUACCGGAUAAUGUCUUCGGACCAAAGAUUUAUCGCCUUUGGAUGGGCCCGCGUUGGAUUAGCUAGUUGGUAGGGUAAAAGCCUACCAAGGCGACGAUCCAUAGAUGGUCUGAGAGGAUGAUCAGCCACACUGGGACUGAGACCCGGCCCAGACUCCUACGGGAGGGAGCAGUGGGGAAUAUUGGACCAUUGGGGGAAGCCUGAUCCCGCCAUGCCGGGUGAGUGAUGAAAGGCUUAGGGUUGUAAAGCUCUUUUACCCGGGAUGGUAAUGACAGUACCGGGAGAAUAAGCUCCGGCUAACUCCGUG